RNAcentral lists this long non-coding RNA (6352 nucleotides) under Phoenix dactylifera (date palm). Its description in RNAcentral is "long non-coding RNA (PDAC_LNC001852)". Lineage: Eukaryota; Viridiplantae; Streptophyta; Magnoliopsida; Arecales; Arecaceae. The record is from RNAcentral.
AAAAAGUAAAAAAAAUCCGUCUCUCAAUACUAUAAAACCCCAUCCCACGGCCCUUUUCCCCUCUUUGUAGCUAGAGAAGGAGAUCUCUCCCCUCUUGUUCUCCUUUCCUCUCCUCUCCGAUGGCCCCCGCCUCCGCUCCCCCCAGCGACCAAACUUCUCCCGCCCCUCCGGCCCGUCGUCGCGAGCCCCGGCGGGCAUUUCGGUCAAUGUAGGGGCGCCGGACAUGGUGUAGCGGUAGAAGGAAGGCACACAGGAUGGAGCCAGGCAUUCCGGACGGAGGAACCACGCGCGGCGUCCAUUGGGGAAGAGACAACGACACACCGAAGCUUGGUGUACCAUCGCGCGGUAUAUAUAAAUAUACACGGGAUCUAACGGUCCAUGAUGAUGCAUCGCGUUCUCGCCCUUUCUUUUUCUUUUCUUUCUUUAACUCCAAAUUUCUUCCUUGAUAUAUAUUAUGUAAUUCUUGCCGAACAUACGCGUUUUUUCUGUUCUUUAGUAGUUUUUAAAUUAUAUAACGUUUAGUUCGCAUUUCAUGUGGAGGGUUUUGGGUUGGAAAUUUGGAAAUCUUUUUGCGCUGCGAUUUUUUGGUUAUUGACUUAUCAUGGUGGAUCUGUAUCAGUGAUCGAAUGGGUUUUAUUUGGUGAUAUUUAUGGGUGUUGUUUAAUUCUUUUGUGGGCUUAAUUGUUUGCUAAUUAUGGUAGUAUAGGAUUGGUUUUGGCUUGUUUAGUAAAUCUUGGCUUGGGCUUUGAUGUUUUUCCUAGAUAUGACUGGAUGUUGUUUGUUUGAGUUCUUAAUUUGCCUGAGAUUUCUUUUUCUUUUUUCGAACUCGCCCUCUCCGUUCCGGAAAUGCUUGUUUGUCAAAGUCAGUUAAGUUGUUUAUUCAAAUUCACUAAUAAAGUGGUACAAUUCGUAACAUCUUUCUACAUGGAUUAUGAAAAUUUUAGGAUUCUCAUCUUCGUCAUGAGAAUUAUUGUUGAAACUGUUGUUUGACGUGAUUUUUACUGUUUAGCAUCACUGUAGCAUCAAUUCUUUCUUUGUUGUUUUCCUCGAUAAAAGAUUCUCUUCCUUUGAUUUUUUUUAAACAACUUUUUCAGAUUUUUUGUCCAGACUAGUAUAAUUCUACUCAGACUGAUUUCUUUUCCCAUGUCUUUAUCAUUCUCACUGACUAAUAUUUGUGGCAGCAUUAUGGAAUACUCAAAAUUUUGUAAUAUAUAUAUAUAUAUAUUUGUGCAGAUUGUUGUUCUUGACUUUUUAUUUUUGGGGUACCAGUUUGGCAUUGUUGUAGCAUCAAAUCCUUCUUUGUUGUUUUAAUAACUAAAAGAUUCUCUUCUUUGUUUUUUUAGCCAAAAUUCCUUCCGUACGUUUUGUCCAAAUUGGUCAUAUUCUCCCCCUGGUGAUAUUUUUUUCUCCUCAUGAACAUUCUCGUUGACAAAUGUUACUGGCAGCAUCAUUAAUACUCAGGCAUUGGUAAAUAAUUUUGAUACUGAUUUGCUGGCCUUGAUACUAGUUGACCAUCUCUUAGGAGAUCACAAAUGGAUCCACAUUGGAGCUUUAUCUGAUCCUUAAUGCUUAUCAUCAGAACUAGCCGCUCUUUCUUUUUUAUGGAUCCCUUUGAUAUGCAUGAUAAUAUAUUGCUCCAACUAAUGAAUGUGAGUUUUAGCAGCUUAGAUGAUUAAUUUUUUAUGAUUAUCAUGUGGCAAGAAUGUGUGGUGAUUUGAUUAUCAUUUACUUCCCCACUUCGUUUUGGCAUGUCUAAGAUUCAUGCAUUAGCUAGGGGAAUUUGCGGUCUUCAUUAAAAUUAACUUUGUAAUGGCAUAUGUUGAACUUGAUUAAUAGCUUUUCCAUCAUAUUAUGGCUGGAGUGGAGUUCAGAUUUUUAGUGCAAAGGUCAAUUGGAUGGUUCUUUUGCUUCCUUUGGGCUUGUGUUGCGUCAGGCAGGAAGAAUAAUGAAACAACAAGAAAAAAAAGAGAAAAGAACCAGAGCAUAGAAUAUUGAUAUUGUUCGUUCUAUUGACCUACAUCCACGGGCAGAGACGAUACAAAAAUUUCACUAUAGAAAACUGGAGAUUAUAGAGUACAAGAUUUUUUCACAAACCCUAUCCUCCAUUUUACCCGAUCUCUAGAAUACUAAAUCAUAUAUAAUAGAGUAAGUCGAUUUAGACUUGAACUAGUGUCCUAUAAUAAUUGGGGCUUGUAAACUCAAGACAUUCUCAACUUAAGUAUUGGACCUUUUCAGGCUUUUCUAGUGGCAUGUAAGGACUUGGCAUUAGAAUCCCCUUUUGCUUAUCUUAGUCUUCUUGCCAGUGAUGGAGUAGAUGUUCAACAUGGUGCUAGAGCAACGGUUUGUUUUUAUUCUUCACCUCUAUAAACCUAUUUCUUAAUUGUAUUUGUCAAUGAUAAAAUCACCCUUUGCAAACUAUUCUUUUAUUAUGCAAGAUAUACCAUAUGCUUGUAUUGCUCCGCUUUGUGUCAAUCUUGUGCAAAAUAGAAAUACUCAGGCCUCAUUGUGUGUUCAGUUGGAAGAUGGGGUGUUCAAUUGCCUUAUGUCUUUAAAAGAAAUAGCAAGAUAAUGUUGGUGGACAGUAACUCUGGAUGCCACCUUGUAUAAGAAAAGCCUAAGAAGUGGAUGGAGAACUGGAUAGAGAAAGAGUUAACCUCUUGAAAAAAGGAGUAGUAUUUGGUGGUGGGUAUCCUUCUUUUGGUUCAGCCUACCCUUGCUGUUACUCCCAUAUGUUCUUUUAAAAUUUUAGUUUAUUGAUGAAUCACUUGGAGAUCUUAUAUGUGAAUUCUUUGGGGAGAGUGUGGUGGUUCAGGGGACUCACAAUUUGGUGGCAUGGGAGGAUCUUUUUGUGUAUUUAUAGCCAUCUGGUUUCUACUUUAAAGAGCUCAAGCGGCUUCAUAUGGUUCUUUUACGCUAGUUGUCUUGGAACAACUGGUUGCUUUUGUAAAUCUCUUGCUGCGUAUAAGUAUAGACACAGAGUUCUUGAAGGUCUCUAUGGUGUGCCUGGAAUUUGAAGGGGGUUGAGUUUGUCUAGCUGCUUGGUAAAGAUUUAACCUCUAGAUAUAUGAUGGUGCUCAUGUUCGUUGUUAGGAAAACACUAUACUAUAGUCUCUCUCAGGAUGAAAUUCCUUUAUUUAGGUUUAUUUUUUCAUUUUCUUCCUCCAUGCUACUUUCAUCCUUACAAGAAAGUGCAGGUAGAAAUGACCUUUACAACUUUUAUUUUUGGUUGGUUGGUAACUUUUGAUAGGAAGGUACCACAUAUGAUCCUAAACAGAACCAGGGAGUACAAGUGGCAUUUUCUAGUUGAGAAUGCAUUGGUUGACUUUUUGAAUGUAAAGCUAGUCAUAUUUUGGUUUCAGCAGAUUAACUUGUGAAAUUUUCUUUCUAUUAAUGAAAAUCUAAAACAGAGAGUCAAAAUAAGAAAGGAGAUUGGUUUGGGACAAGUCAUGUAUUUUUUCUUUGUGAUACAUAAUAGUUCAGAUGUUGCAUAUAAACCUUCUGAGGGCAUCAGGAAAAAUUACCAUACUCCACUAAUAUAUCAUGUCAAUGAUCUUCUCCAUUUGUCACUAAUGCUGGAUUAAGAUGCUUGAAUUUUUGUGGAAACUAGAUAAUUAAUUGACAUUGGGAUAAUGCUGUAACUUGGUUUUUCAGCUUGUACUUAUGCCUUGGAAAACACUUCACUUUUUUGCAAAAUGUUUCCUCUUGUUGUGUAUGCAAUCUUUUCCAAGUUCAGGGAAAUCAUGGAUGAUUAUUCUUUGUUCCUUCUUUGCAAGCAUGUUGGCUUUCCAUGUUUCAUGGCAAGCCCCUGUUAUUCCCUAAGUUUGCCUUGACCAGGAAAUCAAUGCCAAUGGAGGGUUGAUGUCAGGUUGAAGUAGGUCAUGAACCAUUCUCAAACUUUGAUGGAUCAUACUCUGGUUUGUAAAGCUGAACCGUUGUAAACCAAAUAAAGCUUGCAAGUUAAGGAUAUACAAUGGCAAAACCUUGCUUUCCUAAAAUUUGUGGUGAUCUCAUGGUUAGUUGCUUCUGCUCAAUGAAGUUAUUGUUUCGAAUCAGAAAUUCCUAUGGGAUCUUUGUAGCUAGUCAAGGCCCAUGUCAGGAAGUUUAUUCUUUCAUAACUCCUUUUUCUUCUUGUCGGUGAGAUUUUCAGUACCAUCUUGGGUGUAGCUGGAGGAGAAUGGUAAAUUUGGUUUUGAGAUCAAUUGCUUGCAUCUUGCAUACGACUAAAUUCUUUGUUUUAAUUGUUGGAGAAGGUAUUGGACUCCACUCAAGUAGUUCCACGUCACUUUGAAAUUUUUUGCUUGCUUAAAGCUAAUCUUUUCAAAUCAUUUGUCUAAGAGAUUUACAUGUAUGAUACACAAUUUGCCAGUGCAUGAAAUAUUGCGAACGCUGCAGUUUUCCAUCAUUCACCCGAAUUACCCCUUUUUACAAGAGAAUAAAGACUAUUUAUUUGAAAUUGUUGAUUGCCAUAAUUCUCUAAUUCAACUUUUUUUAUCAUCUAUCCUGUUUUCUGUAUCCCUGCGGGAGUGGAGAAUGGAAAUGAAUCCAUGAGGAGUUUCUCGUGAGGUUUCAUCAUUUCAGUAACAGGUGUAGAACAGUGAUAAAUUUGACGUGCUGGGAUCUGUCUAGAAGUCAUAUGCAGUUAGAGAUUGCGAUUUUUGUUCUUCAGUCUUGGUCAGCGGCGUUUGAGUGGGCCUAGCUUGUAAUCUUCUUUGAAGAAUGUUAUCUGCAGGAAAUUUGAGAUUUUAGAUUCUGAUGUGAUGUUUUUACUAACUGAGAUAUUUGGAAAGGGAUCUUUGAAUUAAUUGUAAUGCAUAUUAUCAUCUCUUUUUGUUUGAGGAGUCUGCUUGUCCUUUUUUUGGGUAAGACAGAUGUUGCCUUGAGUCUAAGUUCAAGCUUAUGCUUAUGUGCAUGCAUGGGUUGAGUUUGUGAUAAGCUCUGUAGCUCCUUAUAAAUGCUACUAGUUUAAUUGCUGAACUUAUACAAUACGGAAGAAUUUCUCUCAAACAAGUGGGCAAAAAAUGGUCUCUCCUUGCUAAAAACUGUCAUGUGCAUCAAUGUGACAUAUCUCAUAUAACCUUUUGAUCCAGAAUUUAAUGACCUAAAAGUUGAAAGGAGCGAAAUGAGGGAUGAUUAUUUUCAAUGAAAAUCUGGGUAGGCUGGAGUGCCUUUGGAGGUGGUUCUGUGAAAGUUGAGGAAAAGUAUCCUUUUUUUGGUUAUAGAAGACAAGGAACUGAAGGCUUGUUGCAUCGAUAGGCUAAAACUAAUCCAGAUCCCUCAAUGUCUUUAUGAACAGCUGGAUAGAUCAUUGAACAAUUUGAGCCAGAUUUCUUCAAGGAAGAUAUUUUUGACCUUGAUGGCUCAUUUUAGAGACUCAUUAGGAAUGUCGAUUUUCAUUAAGUCUACUGAAGUCUGCACCAGAUGUGGCAUCACCAGUCAUGCUUGUCUUGUGGACAAUGAUGUCUUGGCAUUUUAGGAGGCUUUGCUCUUGAAAGUGUUAGGAAGUGAAUGCUAAUAAAGAGCAAGAUGGUGAGAAAGUUAUAUAUAACUAGGCUCUUAUACUGCAGAGGGAUGAGCUUGAAAAUGUGAAUUAUCAGAGGCAGGGAUAAGGGUGAAAGAAUUUUCUUAUGAUUUCAAACUAAUACAGCUUUAAUAACAUUGAAUCUUCUCUUGUUGUGAUCCCUUAUGAUCUUAUCUCUAUUUAUAUUAUUAUUUAGAUCCCUACCAUUUAAAGGGCCCCUUUUUUUGAUGAAUGAUAUCAAUUUUUUCCAAGGACAGAAAUGUAAGAAUCUUUAAUCUUUUUGUUGUAACUUUGCUAUGUUGUUGAACCUCUUGAUGUCUUCCUCACAAGCAUGGACCAAUUUGGUGUUAGUGCAAAUCUUGUUUGCCUUUCCUUUAAUCAUGUUGAGAAGUUAAUGAUAAGUCCCCAUCAUAUAUCAUGAGGUACACUUCAGAGUUAUAAUGUUGUUUUGCUGCCAAGGUUAAGUUUCUCCAAACAAUAGAAUUACUGAAUAAAUUCGUGCUGCUAUUUUUAGAGAAAAGAAUAUGGACAAUCCUUUUCCUUCAAUUCUGUUUCCUACGCUACCAUUGGUAAUGGCGUUGAUCAAGUGAACUGGUCAAUUCAGCCAUGAGGCUAGUCUACAAGGAAAAUUUGCAUCAGUAAUCAGUAAAAUUAUUAUUAUGUAAUGAUCUUCUAAAACCUUGGGAGUUCUGUUUGCAGUGUUGAAUCUGAGGUCUCUCUUUCGCCUAGCUGUAAGGUCCCGGUGGUUGCUAUUACUGCAUGUGGUUGCUAUUACUGCAUGUGGUUGCAGGAUGUGAUAUGAUGUUGAUGUAAUUGCGCCAUGCAUGUGUGAAC